Molecule: ribosomal RNA, 253 nt
Filed under: uncultured bacterium
Lineage: Bacteria
Description: partial 16S ribosomal RNA
Rfam family: Bacterial small subunit ribosomal RNA
Source: RNAcentral
UACGUAGGGGGCAAGCGUUGUCCGGAAUCAUUGGGCGUAAAGCGCACGUAGGCGGACUCUUAAGUCGGUGGUGAAAUCCUGGAGCUCAACUCCAGAACUGCCUUCGAUACUGAGAGUCUCGAGUCCGGGAGAGGUGAGUGGAACUGCGAGUGUAGAGGUGAAAUUCGUAGAUAUUCGCAAGAACACCAGUGGCGAAGGCGGCUCACUGGCCCGGUACUGACGCUGAGGUGCGAAAGCGUGGGGAGCAAACAGG